RNAcentral lists this ribosomal RNA (301 nucleotides) under uncultured bacterium. Its description in RNAcentral is "partial 16S ribosomal RNA". It matches the Rfam family "Bacterial small subunit ribosomal RNA", at positions 509 to 807 of the family's 1533-position model. The record is from RNAcentral.
CAGUAGCCGCGGUAAUACGUAGGUGGCAAGCGUUGUCCGGAAUUAUUGGGCGUAAAGGGCUCGCAGGCGGUUUCUUAAGUCUGAUGUGAAAGCCCCCGGCUCAACCGGGGAGGGUCAUUGGAAACUGGGAAACUUGAGUGCAGAAGAGGAGAGUGGAAUUCCACGUGUAGCGGUGAAAUGCGUAGAGAUGUGGAGGAGCACCAGUGGCGAAGGCGACUCUCUGGUCUGUAACUGACGCUGAGGAGCGAAAGCGUGGGGAGCGAACAGGAUUAGAUACCCGCGUAGUCCCUGUCUCUUAUAC